UAGCUGGGAUGAUGAAGUGAUGCACUCCAGUAUCCACGGAGAGUUACAAUGGAGAUAAUGAUGUGGAGGAUGAGAUGAAACCCUGGAGAGGAUCGACUAUGAGAGGAAGAAGAGGUGAAGACAUCAGUGAUGGUCAACGUUAUCUAUAGCAAGCUGUACAUCAUGUCCGUAACAGUGACCUGCAGCGCCGUCCCGUGUGGCUGAAUACACAUUAGACGCUGAAUGGGCCUCAGAGACACGUCACUGCAUCGAAAACUGCAACUCAUAAAGCUGUAAGAAAAAAAACCCCGAAAGAACGUGAGAAGAAAUUUAUUGCCAAAAUCCCAAAAUAUGGAUUGGAUCUGGUGAGAGCUGCCCCUCCAGGAGGCUACGUGGAGGUGCACACAGGAGCAACACAGCCCGCAGUGAAUCACUCCAAUAAAUCAGAGCACGGGAGCUACUACAUCACCUGUUCUUCUGAGUCGAGAAGGCUGAAUGUUGAUGACUUUGUGAUGGAUGACUGAUUCAGUAUCCAUCAGCAUGUGGGGCUGGAUCACAACCAGAACCUGAACGGAACACCGGCCAAGCUGAAGUGUCAGCUCAGGAGGCUGGAGUGAAGCACCCUGACGUAAGCAUCCUUGUGCCACGCUCACGUGGUUAAUGCACAUCAGCGUUCUGUGUUGUUUAUCACCCGGGAACGUGGAAUAUUCUUUAAUGGCUGUGACUGAAAACUUUGCUCUAACCGUCGUCUUAUUUAAAUGCACAUUAUAACCUAAUUUACGUGCAGCAGGCGGGAGUGUAAUGGAGAGGAAAACCCCAGAAAAACUAAAAAGCUAAAUCAACACUUUUAUAGCGCAGGCUGCGUUUGCCAAGAAUGAAUGCCUUUUAAUGUCCAAACAGAAUCUGCAGAUUCUGAAAUGAAUGGUGAACAGAUUCUGCUGCAGAUGUUUUGUUAAUGAAGAUGGGGCUCGUUAACCAUUAUAACUCAGUGCCAUUCUGACAGUGUGACAAUACAAACCCAGUCAUAACAGCAGGAACUGAAAGGCGGAAAGAAAAGCUUUGUCUUAAAGUUAAAUUCACAGAUGUAUCAGGGUCAUUUAUAGAAAAAUAUUAUAAAUUAGCUGAUAUCAAAAAAAUCAAAACUAUCAAAGUUUAGGCCAGAAAAUGAAUACAUGACAAGGAACACGUUUAUCAGAAGAAAGUGUUAAGUGACACCCUCUGCCCCCCCGACCCUCCCCCAGGGGACAAUGGCUCUAUGAAGUUUAGGAAACAUUUUUAA
Long non-coding RNA from Cynoglossus semilaevis (tongue sole), 1258 nucleotides. RefSeq lists it as uncharacterized. Lineage: Eukaryota; Metazoa; Chordata; Actinopteri; Pleuronectiformes; Cynoglossidae. The record is from RefSeq and is a predicted model, not a curated record. The transcript is spliced from 5 exons.